UUGGCCAGGAUGAAGGCGAGGUAACUCCUGCUGGAGGUCCGAACCCACUGCCGUUGAAAAGGCAGGGGAUGAGCUGUGGGUAGGGGUGAAAGGCCAAACA
This 100-nucleotide ribosomal RNA is filed under the name Deltaproteobacteria bacterium. RNAcentral's name for it is "partial 23S ribosomal RNA". It matches the Rfam family "Bacterial large subunit ribosomal RNA", at positions 736 to 835 of the family's 2925-position model. The record is from RNAcentral. Lineage: Bacteria; Pseudomonadati; Myxococcota; Myxococcia.